Long non-coding RNA from Hyla sarda, 310 nucleotides. RefSeq lists it as uncharacterized. NCBI's taxonomy places the organism in Eukaryota, Metazoa, Chordata, Amphibia, Anura, Hylidae. The transcript has 3 exons. The record is from RefSeq and is a predicted model, not a curated record.
CUCCUGUCCCAUCUGAAAACAGAGAGGUGGGGGUUACAGAGCAGCCUGCAGUGAUUGGAUGAAGAGACCCAGCACAGCAGACUCAGGGAAGAAGUUAAUGCAUGGAACGGAAGGGAUGUGACUUGAAAAAAAUGUUGUGGUCAUCCAUGAGUGAGAAGACAGGAGAAAGAAAAAUACAGGUGCGCACCUCGUGCAGCAGUUGUGUUCCACCAUUAGGUCUUCAGGAUAAUAGGUGCUGAAUGUCAAGGUGAUGUUUCCAAUGACAACAUUAAAGGUGACUAAACAGAAGGUUGAACGGACCCCAUUUUAC